This is a long non-coding RNA of Hirundo rustica (Barn swallow), 1306 nucleotides long. RefSeq lists it as uncharacterized. The record is from RefSeq and is a predicted model, not a curated record. Lineage: Eukaryota; Metazoa; Chordata; Aves; Passeriformes; Hirundinidae. The transcript has 3 exons.
GCAAGGAAGAACUCCACAACAGGAAACAGGUUCUGAGUAUAUUUUUACCCAGUACUGCUGAGAGUAUCUUCACAACUGUGACUUUACACAACCUGAGUCACAUGAGCAACUAUUCCACACUCAACAUUGCAGAACAGGACUAAACAUCAAACAAGGUCUGCAGAUGUGGCUGGAACAUAUCAAAGAGAGAAACAUGCACAGAUUCAUCAGCUAGAAGCUGAGUAAGUUUAAUGGAACUUCCUUGAAGAGGCAACAUUUUAUCAACAAUUCUAGUGAAAGAAAGUUCCUUUCCUCCAGUGCUGGGCUACCUGAUGGGAAGAGGACAUCGCCUGUUUACCAGCCUGGCAACAGUGUGGAUAUCACACCAGCCUCAUCAAGCCAGCUUCAACUGAGCCGUCACCUGUGAUCUCUCCUGUGACAGGGCAGUUUCACUAUUAAAAAGAUGCACUUACAGAGACUUUUCUCACAGAGAGAGUGACCUGUAUUUUCAAACUCUGCAAAAUAUACCAACAUGGUAUAUUUUAUAUAACACAUGUUUACAAGUGACUCUCAAUGUAUCAGCAUUCACACUGCAAGGAUCACUGGCCCUCCGUCUCCACUACCUACAGAAAUGCAUCCAAAACAAUAUUUCAUCUUAAUUUUCCCACAGAAGACCCUCUCAAGUAUGUCAAGACUCUCACCCAUAUUCAGAAAGGCCCAGCAGUAACUUUUAAGUGCACUCCUGUCACAAGACCUUUGAAGGGAAAGAUUUGUGCCUUUACUUCUAAUGGGUAAUUCUCAGAUACCACAGUUAAUGACGAGCUUAGGCCACAUAAAGCAAUUAAAUUUAAUGCCCUAGGAGAAGUUAGAAGCUAUUUCUGACUGAAUGACCUCAAGAGUGUGUGCAAGUGUUCUGAUCUAUGACACAAGUGAAAUAGGAGGUAUCUGAAUGUGUUUGGUAGCCUUUUUUUUUCUCAAAGCAUAAAGUUUUUAUUCUCUGUGUUUGGUCAUAUUUGAUUCCUGGCACCAUCUGUGCCUUCCAUGUGGUAUCAGUAUGACUACAAUAAAAUAAUUAAAACUCUACAGAAAUCUCAAAAGGCAUUAAUAUGUUUGCUUGAUCAAACUAUGGAGUCUCAAAGCAAGAAGGAAGCCAAGACAAACAGGAAUAUAUUGCUUAAAUCAAGACGUAGGUAGGUACCGAACUUCCUUUCUUCAUUAUUUCUAAUCAGUUUAAGAGUAUGAUUCAUUUGUUAAACUUCUUUCUGAACAAGUGUGGAGAAAAAAGUGAAUUACCUAUUGAAUGCACAAUAGAAUAAUGAAAGGAAGC